Long non-coding RNA from Stegostoma tigrinum, 1813 nucleotides. RefSeq lists it as uncharacterized. The record is from RefSeq and is a predicted model, not a curated record. The transcript is spliced from 2 exons. Lineage: Eukaryota; Metazoa; Chordata; Chondrichthyes; Orectolobiformes; Stegostomatidae.
CACGAAGUGGGCGGAGAGGCUUUUUAAAAUCUGACAGUAGCCACCGUCACUGAAUUGAAAAAUACCGAUCCCGGUUUUGUCACGAAUAGACUGGAAUUGCUGAAUUCCUUUGUUAGCCGAGGCAGGGCUGGGCGCCGCGAAUGUUUUCUGAGCCGUGUGAGCCCGCCAUCUUUAUCCGGGGCCAACUGGAACCGGAGAGUGCGCAUGUCCUUUACUUGUUGGGAACGGGGCGAGGGGAAGGCGAGCAGGAUUUACGAACAGCAACUUCAAACCAAGAGAAAUGCUUUUCUUUUUCUGUUCUGAAUCUCUGUCCUGGAUUGAUCGUGAUGGAUUUUACACUCUUACAGAUCAAUGUCAGCAGAGGAAUUUGGCAGACUUGAACCUCAGAAAGAGUGAAAGAGUAACUCGAUUGAUGAGGAUCUGAAUGUUAUCAGCAUCUGAAUGUGGUAACGUUCAGGAAGUUGGAGCAUUUGCAGUCAGUGAACUCAAAUCUCGCUGCAGAUUCUAACGAAAUGUUGAAUUCAUCAUGUCUUGAAUAUCAUCAGGCUUUGAUCAUGGAAGCCAAAACCAGUGUUCGCACUGAGAAACCAUGGAAAUGUGAGGACUGUGAGAAGGAAUUCAAAUAUCCAUCUUCCCUGGAAAGUCAUCAGUGUGGUCACACUGGAGAGAGACCGUUCACCAGCCCUGACUGUGGAAAGGGAUUCAUUUGAUCAUCCAGUCUGCUGACACACCAGCAAGUUCAUAUAAGAGAGAGGCAGUUCAUCUCCUCUGAGUGUGCGAAAGGAUUCACUCACUCAUCCCAUCUGCUGACUCACCGGCACGUUCACACUGGGGAGAGACCUUUAAAAUAUCCACACUCUAGGAAUUGCGAGAAAAGUUCGAGAGAACUAAUAUCUCACAUUAGUGAGAAACCAUUCAGGUGCUCUCACUGUGCGACUCGGUUCAAGCGAUCAUCUAAACUCCCAAUACACCAGCACAUUCACACUGGGGAGAGACCGUUCAUCUAUUCCAUAUGUAGGAAGUGUUUCAUUCACUCAUCUGACCUGGUGAAACACCAGAAAGUUCAUUCUAAUGAGAGACCUUUUUCAAUGUUCAGACUGCAGGAAAUGCUGUAAAUGUUCUGGAGAACUGAUGUCCCAUCAACAUGUUCACACUGUUGAGAGCCCAAUAAGAUACUCUCAUGAUGGGACUGGGUACAGAUGAAUAUGUAACCUCGCUGGACACCAAUGCAUCCACACAGGGGAGAUACCAUUCACUUGCUUCAUGUGCAGGAAGAGAUUCGUCAGAUCAUUGUACCUGCUGAAACACGAGCAAGUUCAUUCUGACCAGAGAAUGUGGGAAAUGGUAUAAAGAUUCUGAACAAUUAGCCUCCAUGAACUUGCUCACAUUAUUGAAAUAACUUUGAAUGUUCAGAUUGCAGAAAAUGCUUUAAAAGUCCUCAACAAUUGAUGAUCCAUCAAUGUGUUGACACAGGUGAGAGACCGUUCCAGUGCUUUCACUUUCAAACUGGGUUCAGGUGAUCAUUUCACCUCAUUGUAUGCCAGUGAUGUUCAGACUGGAGGGAGGUCGUUCGCCUGCAUUGAAUGUGGGAAGGGAUUCACUCAAACACCCGACAACCCCCCCGCCCCCCCUAAAAAACAUGAGUGAAUUCACAAAUAACCACAGUGGUUGCAUUUUGCUAUUAAUUAUGUUCGGUAAUGAACACAUUUCAUUGUUGUCUGUUUCUACUGAUGUUAAAUUGACUUUCCUGAAAAUAUGGGUUUUUAUUUUCUGAGUAAAAGGCAAAUAAAUUAGCUUUGUAUUUAACACAAAA